This 476-nucleotide ribosomal RNA is filed under the name uncultured bacterium. Its description in RNAcentral is "bacterial SSU rRNA". It matches the Rfam family "Bacterial small subunit ribosomal RNA", at positions 327 to 793 of the family's 1533-position model. The record is from RNAcentral.
CGCUAGUCACUCCUACGGGAGGCGAGCAGUGGGGAAUAUUGCACAAUGGGGGAAACCCUGAUGCAGCCAUGCCGCGUGUGUGAAGAAGGCCUUCGGGUUGUAAAGUACUUUCAGCAGUGAGGAAGGCAGGUACGUUAAUAGCGUGCUUGUUUGACGUUAGCUGCAGAAGAAGCACCGGCUAACUCCGUGCCAGCAGCCGCGGUAAUACGGAGGGUGCGAGCGUUAAUCGGAAUUACUGGGCGUAAAGCGCAUGCAGGUGGUUCGUUAAGUCAGAUGUGAAAGCCCGGGGCUCAACCUCGGAAUUGCAUUUGAAACUGGCGGACUAGAGUACUGUAGAGGGGGUAGAAUUUCAGGUGUAGCGGUGAAAAUGCGUAGAGAUCUGAAGGAAUACCGGUGGCGAAGGCGGCCCCCUCGGACAGAUACUGACACUCAGAUGCGAAAGCGUGGGGAGCAAACAGGAUUAGAUACCCUGGUAG